This 253-nucleotide ribosomal RNA is filed under the name uncultured bacterium. RNAcentral describes it as "partial 16S ribosomal RNA". It matches the Rfam family "Bacterial small subunit ribosomal RNA", at positions 524 to 776 of the family's 1533-position model. The record is from RNAcentral.
UACAGAGGUGGCAAGCGUUGUUCGGAAUUACUGGGCGUAAAGGGCGCGUAGGCGGUUCGUUAAGUCCUGUGUGAAAUCCCCCGGCUCAACUGGGGAACUGCACAGGAAACUAGCGGGCUUGAGUUCGGGAGAGGGAAGCGGAAUUCCGGGUGUAGCGGUGAAAUGCGUAGAUAUCCGGAGGAACACCGGUGGCGAAGGCGGCUUCCUGGACCGACACUGACGCUGAGGCGCGAAAGCGUGGGUAGCAAACAGG